GAUGAACGCUGGCGGCGUGCCUAAUACAUGCCAGUCGAGCGAACGGACGAGAAGCUUGCUUCUCUGAUGUUAGCGGCGGACGGGUGAGUAACACGUGGAUAACCUACCUAUAAGACUGGGAUAACUUCGGGAAACCGUAGCUAAUACCGGAUAAUAUUUUGAACCGCAUGGUUCAAAGGUGAAAGACGGUCUUGCUGUCACUUAUAGAUGGAUCCGCGCUGCAUUAGCUAGUUGGUAAGGUAACGGCUUACCAAGGCAACGAUGCAUAGCCGACCUGAGAGGGUGAUCGGCCACACUGGAACUGAGACACGGUCCAGACUCCUACGGGAGGCAGCAGUAGGGAAUCUUACGCAAUGGGCGAAAGCCUGACGGAGCAACGCCGCGUGAGUGAUGAAGGUCUUCGGAUCGUAAAACUCUGUUAUUAGGGGAGAACAUAUGUGUAAGUAACUGUGCACAUCUUGACGGUACCUAAUCAGAAAGCCACGGCUAACUACGUG
This 497-nucleotide ribosomal RNA is filed under the name uncultured bacterium. RNAcentral's name for it is "partial 16S ribosomal RNA". It matches the Rfam family "Bacterial small subunit ribosomal RNA", at positions 28 to 507 of the family's 1533-position model. The record is from RNAcentral.